This 350-nucleotide ribosomal RNA is filed under the name Limnonectes kuhlii (Kuhl's wart frog). RNAcentral's name for it is "partial 12S ribosomal RNA". It matches the Rfam family "Bacterial small subunit ribosomal RNA", at positions 880 to 1401 of the family's 1533-position model. The record is from RNAcentral. Lineage: Eukaryota; Metazoa; Chordata; Amphibia; Anura; Dicroglossidae.
UUACGAGCCUCAGCUUAAAACCCAAAGGACUUGACGGUGUCCCAUCCAACUAAGAGGAGCCUGUUCUAUAAUCGAUAACCCCCGAUAUACCUAACCCCCCCCUUGCCAAUCAGCCUGUAUACCUCCGUCGUAAACUCACCAUAUGAAUGCCAACAGUAAUUUUAAUGAUUUAUCAUCAAUACUUCAGGUCAAGGUGCAGCUCAUGAUGGGGAAAGCAAUGGGCUACAAUUUCUAAAAUAAAACCACGGAAUGCUCUAUGAAACACAGCAUGAAGGCGGAUUUAGUAUUAAAAAUUAAAUAAAUUGUUCUUUUUAAUAAGGCCCUGGGACUUGUACACACCGCCCGUCACM